Molecule: ribosomal RNA, 468 nt
Filed under: uncultured bacterium
Lineage: Bacteria
Description: partial 16S ribosomal RNA
Rfam family: Bacterial small subunit ribosomal RNA
Source: RNAcentral
GACGAACGCUGGCGGCGUGCUUAACACAUGCAAGUCGAACGGAAAGGCCCUGCUUUUGUGGGGUGCUCGAUUGGCGAACGGGUGAGUAACACGUGAGUAACCUGCCCUUGACUGUGGGAUAACUUCAGGAAACUGGGGCUAAUACCGGAUAGGAGCUCCUGCUGCAUGGGGGGGGUUGGAAAGUUUCGGCGGUUGGGGAUGGACUCGCGGCUUAUCAGCUUGUUGGUGGGGUAGUGGCUUACCAAGGCUUUGACGGGUAGCCCGCCUGGGAGGGUGACCGGCCUCAUUGGGACUGAGAUACGGCCCAGACUCCUACGGGAGGCAGCAGGGGGGAAUAUUGCACAAUGGGCGGAAGCCUGAUGCAGCAACGCCGCGUGCGGGAUGACGGCCUUCGGGUUGUAAACCGCUUUCGCCUGUGACGAAGCGUGAGUGACGGUAAUGGGUAAGGAAGCACCGGCUAACUACGUG